This 399-nucleotide ribosomal RNA is filed under the name uncultured bacterium. Its description in RNAcentral is "bacterial SSU rRNA". It matches the Rfam family "Bacterial small subunit ribosomal RNA", at positions 356 to 773 of the family's 1533-position model. The record is from RNAcentral.
AGGGAAUCUUCCGCAAUGGACGAAAGUCUGACGGAGCAACGCCGCGUGAGUGAUGAAGGUCUUCGGAUUGUAAAGCUCUGUCUUCUGGGACGAUAAUGACGGUACCAGAGGAGGAAGCCACGGCUAACUACGUGCCAGCAGCCGCGGUAAUACGUAGGGGGCAAGCGUUGUCCGGAAUUAUUGGGCGUAAAGCGCGCGCAGGCGGCUGUUUAAGUCUGGUGUAUAAUCCUGGGGCUCAACUCCGGGUCGCACUGGAAACUGGACGGCUUGAGUGCAGAAGAGGAGAGUGGAAUUCCACGUGUAGCGGUGAAAUGCGUAGAGAUGUGGAGGAACACCAGUGGCGAAGGCGACUCUCUGGGCUGUAACUGACGCUGAGGCGCGAAAGCGUGGGGAGCAAAC